RNAcentral lists this long non-coding RNA (635 nucleotides) under Homo sapiens (human). RNAcentral describes it as "HSALNT0294857". Lineage: Eukaryota; Metazoa; Chordata; Mammalia; Primates; Hominidae. The record is from RNAcentral.
CUUCCACCAGAUCCCCAACCACAACUUCCUCCGCAUUUAUGCUCAUUUUCUCACCAUUUCGAAUCACAAGGGCUUGCUUUGGAAAAGAAACAAUUUACACCGUUAGUAUACCAACAAAGAGAAGGUAGUGUCCAAAACAAGAAAAUAAAAAUAGUCAUAAUCCUAAUUACCUGAAUACAAAACAAAGAUAUUAUUCACUUUUUUAUUUACACAAGUUACAAAAGCUUGCUCGCCAGUUUAAGAGAUAUUGCUGUUACAUGGUGUGCCUGUAUUCAGAGUUUACAUUCAAAAGAAAGGCUACCACUUUUUGGAUAGAAGGAAAAUAGGUUGGUUUUGGGUGGGGUAGAAGACAUCCAUCUCUCUGAUGAGUCAUGUAAUACUUGGAAAACCUUAACUUCACACUAAUUCACAGGCUGACAUGCUUGGGGCUGUCAAGUCAUCCACUGGGGAAGGACAAAGCGUCUGGUACCUGAGGGACCAUGUUUUUGAAGGAUUCCAUGAUCUUUGAACUUUUAGCUUCUUGAUAGUAGGAGAAGCAACCAGUUAUGAUUACAACGGCUGAUAGCACCACACCCAGGUACAGCUGGAAGGGAAAAGACAAGUUAGGGCCCGUGGCUCUACACAAUAAUUAGGGA